This 521-nucleotide ribosomal RNA is filed under the name uncultured bacterium. RNAcentral describes it as "bacterial SSU rRNA". It matches the Rfam family "Archaeal small subunit ribosomal RNA", at positions 345 to 866 of the family's 1478-position model. The record is from RNAcentral.
AACCUCCGCAAUGUGAGAAAUCGCGACGGGGGGAUCCCAAGUGCCAUUCUUAACGGGAUGGCUUUUCUUAAGUGUAAAAAGCUUUUGGAAUAAGAGCUGGGCAAGACCGGUGCCAGCCGCCGCGGUAACACCGGCAGCUCUAGUGGUAGCUGUUUUUAUUGGGCCUAAAGCGUCCGUAGCCGGUUUAAUAAGUCUCUGGUGAAAUCCUGUAGCUUAACUGUGGGAAUUGCUGGAGAUACUAUUAGACUUGAGAUCGGGAGAGGUUAGAGGUACUCCCAGGGUAGAGGUGAAAUUCUGUAAUCCUGGGAGGACCGCCUGUUGCGAAGGCGUCUAACUGGAACGAUUCUGACGGUGAGGGACGAAAGUUAGGGGCGCGAACCGGAUUAGAUACCCGGGUAGUCCUAACUGUAAACGAUGCGGACUUGGUGUUGGGGUGGCUUUGAGCUGCUCCAGUGCCGAAGGGAAGCUGUUAAGUCCGCCGCCCGGGAAGUACGGUCGCAAGACUGAAACUUAAAGGAAUU